AGCAGCCGCGGUAAUUCCAGCUCCAAUAGCGUAUAUUAAAGUUGUUGCAGUUAAAAAGCUCGUAGUUGAAUUUCGGGAUUGGCGCAUCGGUCGUGCCUCACGGGGUAUGAACUGGUGCAGUCAAUUUCUCACCUUCUGGAGAACCGCGAUGUCCUUAAUUGGAUGCCGCGGGGAACCAGGACCUUUACUUUGAAAAAAUUAGAGUGUUUAAAGCAGGCAUUUUUGCUUGAAUACAUUAGCAUGGAAUAAUAAAAUAGGACGGCAUGGUUCUAUUUUGUUGGUUUCUAGGACCACCGUAAUGAUUAAUAGGGAUAGUUGGGGGCAUUAGUAUUCAAUUGUCAGAGGUGAAAUUCUUGGAUUUAUUGAAGACUAACUACUGCGAAAGCAUUUGCCAAGGAUGUUUUCAUUAAUCAAGAACGAAAGUUAGGGGAUCGAAGACGAUCAGAUACCGUCGUAGUCUUAACCAUAAACUAUGCCGACUAGGAAUCAGACGAUGUUAAUUUUUUU
RNAcentral lists this unclassified non-coding RNA (507 nucleotides) under uncultured Glomus. RNAcentral describes it as "SSU rRNA". It matches the Rfam family "Eukaryotic small subunit ribosomal RNA", at positions 569 to 1073 of the family's 1831-position model. Lineage: Eukaryota; Fungi; Glomeromycota; Glomeromycetes; Glomerales; Glomeraceae. The record is from RNAcentral.